Molecule: long non-coding RNA, 1342 nt
Organism: Aplysia californica (California sea hare)
Lineage: Eukaryota; Metazoa; Mollusca; Gastropoda; Aplysiida; Aplysiidae
Exons: 3
Source: RefSeq, a predicted model, not a curated record
UCGCAACUCUCGUGCAUUGUGAAGGUUUGCUCGCACUCACGCGCUUGGCUUCUGCUGCCGUGGCGAGCGAGCGCGAGUGGGGACGAAGAAAAAGAACCAGGAGAGAGAAAGAGAGAGAGAGAGUGAGUGAGGACUGAGGAAGAGGAGAGAAGGAUCGCGGCGCACAAGGCGAAGACAAGAAGAAGAAGAGUGUAGCGUGAGUGAGAGAGUUUUAAGUGAGGAAUUGAGGGAGGGAGGUAGAUGAAUGAGUAAGCCGGUAGAGAGUGAGAUCGCGUUGUGGAUGGUGAUCGGUUGGUUAGGAAAGGAAAGGACAACAAACAACCGAGUCCUGAGAGAGUGAACUUUUUCGUGAGGUUAUGGUCAGCAGCUCUAAGACUAAGACUAAGCCAAAGCUGACGUCUGUUGAUGCUAUCACAACAUUCUUACUGAGAGCCGCAGACAGUUUCUAAUUAGGCUUUGUUGUGGAGGAAGUGGAUGCUGGAGGAGAGACAGACAGGCAGGCAGAGAGAAAUAGAGAAAGAGAUAGAGAGCAGAGAGUGUGUGUGGAAGGAGUAGCUUGUUUCUUUCUCAGAUUCUCAGUCAACACCAAGGUAGUUUUUUACGGCUCUGUCAUAGAGGUACAGGACGAGGAUUGAAACAUGUGUCCCUGACGCCGGCCGGUGACGAGAUCUUUUUUCUUUUCUUUUCGUCUGUGCGCAAGGAUACUGUUUUGAUACUCUGUGCUUUGCGUUGGCGGCGGAGGGAUACGAUACCGGGCAGCAGACGAAAAUAGUAACCCACCCCGUGGUUUCUGGAAGAGGUGGACAAAAUACGGAUAAUCUAUCUGGAUAACCGGAUAAUUACCAAUGAGACAUUGUCCGAAUUCAGACUCUGAACGCCUCUUUCCUGACCCGCUUGCCCGAAGUCGGUGCACCCAUUUGUUGAAGUGGUGGUGCUAACCCGUUCCUCGAAGUGGUCCUAACCCAUUUGCCGAAGAGGUUCAUACCAUAAUAUUAUUUGCAGAAGUGGUGCACUAACAUAUUGUCCGGAUUUUGCUAAAGCGACUCAUUGCCCAGCUCUAGUUUCUGUUCUGGAGCUCUCCCACGCUUGAAGGAAGGGGGAGUCAUCAAUGGAGUAAAAAACAGAGAGGAGGUAGCGGCGAUCGAUGGAGUGAACACAGGACUGGCUUGUCGGGCUUAUUUUCUACACCCAGGAGGAGGAGGAGGAGGAGGAGGAAGGGACCGGGACGGAUAGAGAGAAGGACGGAUUCUUCUUCUGGAUGAGGAGAAAGGAGGAGGAGAAGGAAGAAUAAAGUCGAGUUGUGACCUAGUCGUACAGACAGAAUGGCGAAGAGAUAUACAGA